Molecule: long non-coding RNA, 389 nt
Organism: Pogoniulus pusillus (Red-fronted tinkerbird)
Lineage: Eukaryota; Metazoa; Chordata; Aves; Piciformes; Lybiidae
Exons: 3
Source: RefSeq, a predicted model, not a curated record
GAUGGAUGCUGACUGCAGCUGGGAAACAUCUGGCACUGUUCAGAAAAAGAAGUGCAAAGGUGACAGCCUCCUUUACUGGCUAGCUGGGGCCAGUUCAGCAGCUUGCACCACCUGCCAGCAGACCCAAGCAAUCCAGGACAGCCAGACCCUCCUUGCCUUUGGAUUCAUCUGGACUUGAAAGGGAAACUGAAAUGGGCCAACAGAGGAAGAAUGAGGCAGGGUGAAAAACAAAGAACUGAGGUGGAAACCUGAAGAAAAGUCCCUCAGUCUUGGAGCUGGAAAAGCAAGGAAAGGACAAUAACUAAGCUGGUGAAAUGUGCUGGAACAACCACUCUGAAAAUGUCAUCUCUCUUACCUUUGUAUUGAGGCAGUAUGGCAAAGGGACAUGA